This 234-nucleotide ribosomal RNA is filed under the name uncultured bacterium. RNAcentral's name for it is "partial 16S ribosomal RNA". It matches the Rfam family "Bacterial small subunit ribosomal RNA", at positions 114 to 334 of the family's 1533-position model. The record is from RNAcentral.
CACGUGGGCAAUCUGCCGUGAAGUUGGGGAUAACUUGCCGAAAGGUGAGCUAAUACCGAAUGUGACUUUUAGGAGGCAUCUUCUAAAAGUGGAAGUUGGGGACCGCAAGGCCUGACGCUUCACGAUGAGCCCGCGGCCUAUCAGCUUGUUGGUGAGGUAACGGCCCACCAAGGCUAAGACGGGUAGCUGGUCUGAGAGGACGACCAGUCACACUGGAACUGAGACACGGUCCAG